GGGAUAAAAGGCGGCUGCGUCCCUCCCUCACCCUCUCACUUCCUGGCUCGAAGGCCCUCCAACUUCCUGGCCUUUUACUUCCUCCUCUGCUCUCCAUGUGGUGAUCCAUGGGGGCUGAGGUGAUUGCGAUGACCUCCAUUGUUUUGCCAUAAGCAAGUAAAGCCUUCAGUGGAUCCUGAACACAUCACUGGCGCACCAUAGAUGCUCCAGUUAGCACGAAGAAGUGCAGAGCCUCCUCAUCCUUCUCCUCACUGGGAGGAUGCUCGCUGACCGGGACCUGUGGCUGAACUCUGGACAGUAAGAUAAGUGCAGGAACACUGCUGCUUCGUCUACCCUCGGUGUGCAGUGGCCGUUUUGCUUGGGACUGCUCUGUCGCCCUGCUACAUAGACUAUAGCUGCGGUGCAUGCUGCUCUCUGCUUCGCUAGCUGCUUUCUGCUUUGCUCGCCGCCUCCUGCUUCGCUUGCUAUUGUGACUGUUUUCUGCAAGUUAAUGCUCGGCUCCCGGUCUUUGUCUCCGAGUGGCCGGCUCCAGCGGCAGUUGCCCAGUCGGGACUGUGUGUGUGUGGAUGAGUGGGUAAUUUUAUGUUUUUUUGAGUGUAUUGUAUAUUUUUUUGGAAAUGAUUGGUUGGUCAUUUAUCAUUUAGUUUUUAUGUUAAUUGAAUGAUUAUGUCCAUUUGAUUUAGUAUCUCUGGCCAGAGACCCUGUUUCUUUGCUUACUCUUUUUUUUGAUUUUUGAGUUUGUUAAGUUAUCAGUUAUGAAAUACUUUAAUGAUUGUUGUUUCCUAAUUUCUAUUUGAGUUUCAGCCCCAGGCUGUUGGUAUUUUGUGUUAGGACAUUUGUUAUUAUAAUUCUUUUUAUGAUUUUUGUACUUGCAUAUUGUGUUACUAAUUGUGUUCUCCCCUCUCCCUUUAGUUGCUGAGAGCCAAUGGUGGUGGCGGUGUCCAGGGUGGUGGUUUCCUUUUGUGUGUUGUGUGAUUCUGGAUUUUGGUUUUCUUUGCACUUCAUUUUUUUUGCUGUGUGCCACGUACGAGUGGGGUGCUCCUUAUUUAAUUUGGACUUCCUUCCCCUAGUUUUCCCCUCACUACCGGUAAGCCUCAGCACUGGAGCAGCACUUUAGUUCUCUUUUAAGUUAUUUUUACAUAUUGUGACCAACUAAAAUAAUUUAUUAAAUAUUUGUUAAACAUUGAA
This is a long non-coding RNA of Thunnus maccoyii (southern bluefin tuna), 1188 nucleotides long. RefSeq lists it as uncharacterized. The transcript has 3 exons. The record is from RefSeq and is a predicted model, not a curated record. NCBI's taxonomy places the organism in Eukaryota, Metazoa, Chordata, Actinopteri, Scombriformes, Scombridae.